GGUCAGAACGAACGCUGGCGGCGCGUCUUAAGCAUGCAAGUCGAACGGCAAGAGGUAGCAAUACCUCCUAGAGUGGCGGACUGGUGAGUAACACGUGGGUGACAUACCCUUCAGAUGGGGAUAGCUAUUAGAAAUAGUAGAUAAUACCGAAUACGAGCACAGGGGUUAGAGAUCUGUGAGGAAAGGAGCUAAGGCUCCGCUGAAGGAAUGGCCUGCGGCCCAUUAGCUAGUUGGUGAGGUAAGAGCCCACCAAGGCGAUGAUGGGUAUCCGGCCUUAGAGGGUGAACGGACACAUUGGGACUGAGAUACGGCCCAGACUCCUACGGGAGGCAGCAGCUAAGAAUAUUCCGCAAUGGACGAAAGUCUGACGGAGCGACGCCGCGUGGAUGAAGAAGGCCGGAAGGUUGUAAAAUCCUUUUGAAACUGAAGAAUAAGCGUUGUAGGGAAUGACAGCGUGGUGACAGUAGGUUUUGAAUAAGCAACGGCUAAUUACGUGCCAGCAGCAGC
This 507-nucleotide ribosomal RNA is filed under the name uncultured bacterium. Its description in RNAcentral is "bacterial SSU rRNA". It matches the Rfam family "Bacterial small subunit ribosomal RNA", at positions 22 to 518 of the family's 1533-position model. The record is from RNAcentral.